Ipomoea nil (Japanese morning glory) is the source of this 181-nucleotide long non-coding RNA. RefSeq lists it as uncharacterized. Lineage: Eukaryota; Viridiplantae; Streptophyta; Magnoliopsida; Solanales; Convolvulaceae. The record is from RefSeq and is a predicted model, not a curated record. The transcript is spliced from 2 exons.
AUAGGGAGAAUAAGAUUUUAACUAAUCCCUUACCCUAUCUAGCUAGUUCCGAGAACUAACAAAGAACCAAAGCCUGUCCAGGUUCAAUGAAUCUAACGUAAGACUUUGCAGCACUGUAAUCGAACUGUGCUUCUUGAUCUUCUCGGAUCAAUGGUGGUUAAAUUGAAUAUUAAAAAAAAAA